GGCUUGGUGGUGGAUGGUCCACACCUGUGUCCUGUGGAAAAUCUGGACCAGAUCUAAGCAAGAGAAGCCUGUUCGAAUCAGGCCCGAGCCA
Mycena metata is the source of this 91-nucleotide non-coding RNA. The record is from the annotation of a GenBank genome assembly. Lineage: Eukaryota; Fungi; Basidiomycota; Agaricomycetes; Agaricales; Mycenaceae.